This 75-nucleotide transfer RNA is filed under the name bacterium. RNAcentral describes it as "tRNA-Gly". It matches the Rfam family "tRNA". From Rfam's summary of the family: Transfer RNA (tRNA) molecules are approximately 80 nucleotides in length. The record is from RNAcentral. RNAcentral also lists the same sequence under 9 other names.
GCGGGAAUAGCUCAGUGGUAGAGCACAACCUUGCCAAGGUUGGGGUCGCGGGUUCAAAUCCCGUUUCCCGCUCCA